UCGAUAACGAAACGAGACCUCGACCUGCUAAAUAGUACUGGUUAUUCAUUGGAUAAUCCAGGCACUUCUUAGAGGGACUAUCGGCGGUGUACCCGAUGGAAGUUCGAGGCAAUAACAGGUCUGUGAUGCCCUUAGACGUUCUGGGCUGCACGCGCGCUACACUGAUACGUUCAUCGAGCUUACAACCUUGACUGGAAGGUCUGGGUAAUCUUCAAAAGCGUAUCGUGAUGGGGAUAGAUUAUUGUAAUUUUUGAUCUUCAANCGAGGAAUUCCUAGUAAACGCGCGUCACUAACGCGCAUUGAUUACGUCCCUGCCCUUUGUACACACCGCCCGUCGCUACUACCGAUUGAAUGGCU
This 357-nucleotide ribosomal RNA is filed under the name uncultured eukaryote. RNAcentral describes it as "bacterial SSU rRNA". It matches the Rfam family "Eukaryotic small subunit ribosomal RNA", at positions 1325 to 1698 of the family's 1831-position model. The record is from RNAcentral.